RNAcentral lists this ribosomal RNA (253 nucleotides) under uncultured bacterium. Its description in RNAcentral is "partial 16S ribosomal RNA". It matches the Rfam family "Bacterial small subunit ribosomal RNA", at positions 524 to 776 of the family's 1533-position model. The record is from RNAcentral.
UACGUAGGGUGCGAGCGUUGUCCGGAAUUAUUGGGCGUAAAGGGCUCGUAGGCGGUUUGUCGCGUCGGGAGUGAAAUCCCCGGGCUCAACCCGGGAAAUGCUUCUGAUACUGGCGGACUUGAGGCCAGUAGGGGUCACUAGAACUGACGGUGGAGCGGUGAAAUGCGUAGAUAUCGUCAGGAAUGCCGGUGGUGAAGACGGGUGACUGGGCUGGUUCUGACACUGAGGCACGAAAGCGUGGGGAGCGAACGGG